This 155-nucleotide ribosomal RNA is filed under the name Gambierdiscus belizeanus. Its description in RNAcentral is "5.8S ribosomal RNA". It matches the Rfam family "5.8S ribosomal RNA". From Rfam's summary of the family: 5.8S ribosomal RNA (5.8S rRNA) is a component of the large subunit of the eukaryotic ribosome. It is transcribed by RNA polymerase I as part of the 45S precursor that also contains 18S and 28S rRNA. Functionally, it is thought that 5.8S rRNA may be involved in ribosome translocation. The record is from RNAcentral. Lineage: Eukaryota; Dinophyceae; Gonyaulacales; Pyrocystaceae.
AGCUUCAUCAGCACUGGAUGUUUUGGCCCAGCUGACGAUGAAGGGUGCAGCAAGAUGUGGUGUGCAAUAUGACUUGCAGAUUUCCGUGAGUAGGUGCAAAUUGAAUGCUGUGUGCGCGGUUGGGCCGCUCCCAAUGGUGUGCUGAAUUCGAAACA